Molecule: ribosomal RNA, 468 nt
Filed under: uncultured bacterium
Lineage: Bacteria
Description: partial 16S ribosomal RNA
Rfam family: Bacterial small subunit ribosomal RNA
Source: RNAcentral
GACGAACGCUGGCGGCGUGCUUAACACAUGCAAGUCGAACGGAAAGGCCCUGCUUUUGUGGGGUGCUCGAGUGGCGAACGGGUGAGUAACACGUGAGUAACCUGCCCUUGACUUUGGGAUAACUUCAGGAAACUGGGGCUAAUACCGGAUAGGAGCUCCUGCUGCAUGGUGUGGGUUGGAAAGUUUCGGCGGUUGGGGAUGGACUCGCGGCUUAGCAGGUUGUUGGUGGGGUAGUGGCUUACCAAGGCGUUGACGGGUAGCCGGCCUGAGAGGGUGACCGGCGACAUUGGCACUGAGCUACGGCCCAGACGCAUACGGGAGGCAGCAGUGGGGAGUAUUGCACAAUGGGCGGAAGCCUGAUGCAGCAACGCCGCGUGCGGGAUGACGGCCUUCGGGUUGUAAACCGCUUUCGCCUGUGACGAAGCGGGAGUGACGGUAAUGGGUAAAGAAGCACCGGCUAACUACGUG